GAUGAACGCUGGCGGUAUGCUUAACACAUGCAAGUCGAACGCACCUUUCGGGGUGAGUGGCGGACGGGUGAGUAACGCGUGAGAAUCUGGCUUCAGGUCUGGGACAACCACUGGAAACGGUGGCUAAUACCGGAUGUGCCGUUGGGUGAAAGGUUAACUGCCUGAAGAUGAGCUCGCGUCUGAUUAGCUAGUAGGUGUGGUAAGAGCGCACCUAGGCGACGAUCAGUAGCUGGUCUGAGAGGAUGAUCAGCCACACUGGGACUGAGACACGGCCCAGACUCCUACGGGAGGCAGCAGUGGGGAAUUUUCCGCAAUGG
Molecule: ribosomal RNA, 317 nt
Filed under: Nostoc sp. CCG10
Lineage: Bacteria; Bacillati; Cyanobacteriota; Cyanophyceae; Nostocales; Nostocaceae
Description: bacterial SSU rRNA
Rfam family: Bacterial small subunit ribosomal RNA
Source: RNAcentral